CAAGCUACCCUAGGUACAUGCUCAAUCUGUGGUGUUGAAGAUGAAUGUGUUUUUCAUGCUUUGGUAUGCUGUCCCAAGGUACGUGCAUUCCGUAUGGGUUUGAGAGAGGUGUGGAAUUUGCUGGAUGAAGAUAUUUUAAACUGUUCUGAGCCAGACUGGUUACUUAUUUUAUUGGAUCAGUUAAGUUCACCUAUGCGUGAGCAAACAAUUUUCAUGUUCUGGAGAGCUUGGCAUUUGAGAAAUGACUUGAUUUUUGGUAAAGGAAAGGAAUCU
Molecule: ribosomal RNA, 273 nt
Filed under: Triticum aestivum (bread wheat)
Lineage: Eukaryota; Viridiplantae; Streptophyta; Magnoliopsida; Poales; Poaceae
Description: partial small subunit ribosomal RNA
Source: RNAcentral